Molecule: ribosomal RNA, 255 nt
Filed under: uncultured bacterium
Lineage: Bacteria
Description: partial 16S ribosomal RNA
Rfam family: Bacterial small subunit ribosomal RNA
Source: RNAcentral
UACGUAGGGGCAAGCGUUGUCCGGAUUUAUUGGGCGUAAAGAGCGUGUAGGCGGCCAUACAGGUCAGCUGUGAAAACUCGAGGCUCAACCUCGAGACGUCGGUUGAAACCGUAUGGCUAGAGUCCGGAAGAGGAGAGUGGAAUUCCCGGUGUAGCGGUGAAAUGCGCAGAUAUCGGGAGGAACGACCGGUGGCGAAGGCGGUUCUCUGGGCCUUACCUGGACGCUGAGGAGACGAAAGCGUGGGGAGCGAACAGG